This 74-nucleotide transfer RNA is filed under the name Hordeum vulgare. RNAcentral describes it as "tRNA-Met". It matches the Rfam family "tRNA". Rfam says of the family: Transfer RNA (tRNA) molecules are approximately 80 nucleotides in length. Their secondary structure includes four short double-helical elements and three loops (D, anti-codon, and T loops). The record is from RNAcentral. Lineage: Eukaryota; Viridiplantae; Streptophyta; Magnoliopsida; Poales; Poaceae.
GCAUCCAUGGCUGAAUGGUUUAAAGCGCCCAACUCAUAAUUGGUAAAUUUGCGGGUUCAAUUCCUGCUGGUGCA